Molecule: long non-coding RNA, 4822 nt
Filed under: Manihot esculenta (cassava)
Lineage: Eukaryota; Viridiplantae; Streptophyta; Magnoliopsida; Malpighiales; Euphorbiaceae
Description: long non-coding RNA (MESC_LNC004148)
Source: RNAcentral
UUGCAAUUUGUUGAUUAGUAAUUAAUUAGAGGACUCUCCCUAAUUGGUUAAUAAUAAAGGAGAAGUAUGGUUGUGAGAAGCAUCUUCAAUCGCCAUGACUAAUUUAUUGAAUCAAGCAAGAGAACAUAAGUGUCAAUGAUCAAUUCCAUCAACUAAAGUGAAUCCGAAUCUUCAACUAGAGCUUUUCUUCUUAUUGUUUUCUCUUCAUUUUUUAUUAUUUGCUUUACUUUAUUGCUUUCAUCAUUAGUUUAAUCAAAUCAAUCUCAAAACCUCCCCUUUUUACUUUCUUUGCACUUUGCUUUUAUUUUAUUUUUAGUUUGUUUUCUUGGUCUUGAUAAGGAAAAUAGGUAAGUAUCAAUUCCCUGUGGAUUCGAUCCUUUCACCACUAUCUACAGUUGUAAUAUUGUUUGUAGCUGAAUUGAUUAUUUUUUACCGACUUCGACAACCGUUCUGUCAAAAAUUGGCCCCGUUGCCGGGGAAUUGAUUUAACUUAUUUGUUUUUCUUUCAGGACUAGAUCUGCCACCCAAAGAACACCUCAUCGCAGAUCUGAACAUAAAAAAAAAGAGAAUGAAGACCACAUUUGCGUAGGAGCACCUUUUGCAACACAUUCGGCCGCCGAACUUCAUCAAUAUUCGGCCGCCUAACCUCUUCCACAUUCGGCCGCCGAACUCCAUCAAUAUUCAGCCGCCUAACCUCUUCCACAUUCGGCCGCCGGACCUCAUCCUCAUUUGGCCGCCGAACCUUUCACUUAAGGCACAGUCACCAUCGCAGAUCUGAAUCAUGGAUGAGGUAAGUAUGUCCAAAUAUGAAUCUCAAAUGUCACAUCUAAUCUCUCUUGUGGAAAAUUAUGCCAUAGGUCAAGCUCGAAGAGCCCAACAGUUUCGGCCACCUCGGCCAUGUGGGAUAUGUGCAUAUGUAGGACACCCAACUGAUCAAUGUCCUAUAUUUUAUGAGGAUUACCAGCAAGCACAUGCAUUUAAAGGAUACUAUGGACAGCCAAGACGUGAUCCCUACCUUGACACAUACAAUACAUGUUAGGGAGGCCAUCCAAAUUAUGGCUAUGCUAGGGCUGACCACUACCAGGACUACCAAGACUACCAAGCCCAACCAGCACCUCCAUGUUCAGAACCUAGCAAUGGUGAGUUAGCAAAGACUUUGCAAGUGAUGCAACAGUAGAUUGAUCAAAUGACCAACUCACUGAAUGCAAUCAAAUUAAGGCGUGAGGAAGAGCUUCAAGAUAUAUGGGAUGAUGAUGAAAGUUCACAAGUAUAAGAACAAAGUGCUGAAGAGAAACAACCAGAAAACUAUUUGUCCAAACAAACUGAUCAAACAGAACCUGUUGUUGAUUUAGAUAUCAUUAAUUGUAUGAACCAAGAAAUUUUUUAUGUAAAUCAAAAUGAUAUGCUAAACAAUGAUUCUUGCAGGGAGGCUAGCAAAAAAGAUGAAGAAAGCAAAAAAGAGCCAAACUGCAUCCAACAGAUGGACUGCAGUCUUGCGCAGAAAGGGCCUAGAUCGCAGAUGGGCCAAACACAGAUGGGCCUUGCACAAAAAGAGAAGCCCGAUUCUCCUUCAGUCAUUCCUCCAUCGCAGAAAGCCCAUGCACACAAUGAACAAAUGGAAUUCCAAGAUCCAAAACCAAAGGAACAUACAAAUCUAUGCCUGCCCAAACCACCAGAUAAGGUAAAGUUUGUUUUGCCCGAAUUCAGUGCCACAUUACAGACAUCUAUGAGAAAACAUGAAUUGGAAUUCAAGGUACUGCCAAAUCAUCUCAAAAAUGCAAACAUAAGGGCAAGAGGCAUACCUCAUCUGAAAGAGGAGAAACUGAUCAUGUUACUUCAUGAGUACAUGAAAGAAAUAAGAUGGGUUAUGACCAAAGUAAAAGGCAUGCUACACUUUAUUCUUAAUUCUGUUGGGACCCUUUUCCCUCCCCCGAUUACCUGAGGCAACUUGCCAAGUGGAUCGCACCACCCAACACCACACCAAGGGGAGUACUCAGUUUCUUCUGUUCUUUUAUGUUUUCUAUACAUUGAGGACAAUGCAUGAUUUAGGUGUGGGGGUGCGGAUCUGAGAAUUUUUAAUUUUUCCUUUAAUUUUUGCUUUAGACACAUUUUUCCUUUCAGUCAUUUUUGUUUACACACAUUGUUAUUUUUGUUGCACUCAUAGGUAGCCACAGUUUUUUUUUUCAAUUUUUAUUUUGAUUGCUUUACUCAAAGUGAUGAGCUAUGUUGGAUGAGCUAUGUUGGAUGAGCUUUUUUUCUAUGACCCCAUUGAUGUGAUAACUCUUUAAACCUAUGUUGAAUCAAUUGCAAUGAGAUAUAUUCAUUUUUGAGAAUUGCCUUUUGAAUUGAAUCUUUGAGCUUGCCAUGGUGAAAAAUGUAUUGAUGACACUCAUUUGAGAGAAUUAAUUAAUUCAUGUGUGAAUGAACUUAACAUGACUUGUUUUAGCAAUUAGUGUUGAUUUGUCCAAUCAUUGAGAAAUAAAAAAUUCAGCAAAGGCAAGACUUCAAAACCACAAUGAAAAACUGUUCCAAUGGUCAAAAGACUAUGAACAGAGCUAGUAGCCACUUGGAUAGGUGACCAACUGAGUAACUGGGGGUGGGUAUCACAAAUAUGUACCUUCACGUCAAAAGGUUGGUGACUUUUUCAAGCAAAAUUAAAGUGCAAAAGGCUGAAUAAAAUGCUUCAAGGUAAGGGCAAAUCACUCUGAAAGCUAGAAAAAGUCCUAAUUAAACUGAACAUGUGCAUGUAUAAUCUCUUUCUUGAGUAAAACAAAUCCUAGCCAUGGUGAGUAAAGGGAAACAAGGAAAGAAGGUAAGUAACCUUGAUACAUAUAUUCUUCAUUGCAAUGAUUCAAAAUAGGGGUCUAGAGUAAGAGCUUAAGUGGACAUAAAGGAUGAAAGCAAAGAGAGCUUAUUUGACUAUGCUUAUUUGCUUGAGGACAAGCAAAAGGCUAGGUGCGGGGGUAUUUGACAGAGCAUAAUUUAGGCCAUAUUAUCAUGAUGUUAAUGAGGUUUAUUUGCACCUUUUCUGCCUAAUUUUGUGGUUUUGUUCAUGUUUUGCAGAAACUAGGUGUGAAAAGACAAUCUGGUGAAAAUGCUCUUAAAACUGCCAAAAAAAGUGCCAAAUAUGGAAAGUUCCAAAUAAGAAAAGUUUUCAUAUAUGGAAAGUUCUAAAUAAGGAAAGAGUCAGAUAAGGAAAGCACAGUUGGCGGGCUGUUUGAAAUUCAAACUGCAGAUCUUCCUUGCCUUUUUCAGAAUGUGAAGCCAAACAAGGAAAGUGCCAAACAAGGAAAGUGUCAGAAAAGGAAAGUGCAAUCAACAGAAGAUUUGAAAUUCAAAUUGCAGAUCCUUCUUUCCUUGUAGGUAAGGUCAAAUAAGGAAAGUAACAGAUGAGGAAAGUGUAGUCAGCAGAUCGUUCGAAAUUCGAAUCGCAAAUCUUUCUUUCCUUAUUUAAAGAUAUGCAGACACCUCAGCAGAUCCUCCUAUUUAGGAAGCAAGAUCUCAAGAUGCACUUGGCCUUUAUUCAGUCCAGAUUCAAGGGGAUGCACUUGGCUCUUAUUCAGUCUAGAUUCAAGAUUUGAAAUCCAAACGAAGGCUCCACCUAAUAAGGCAAGUAAGAUCACGCUCCUCUUUCCCUUCUGAGAGCCAAUCCGCGCGCCUUCUUGCCUUCUGAAGACCAAGGCACACCACUUUCCCUCUGAAGAGCCUGCCGCGCGCACAACUUCCUUCUGCAGUGCAUGCUGCGCGCCUCUUUCCUUCUGAAUAAUUUACAACGCGAUUCUUUCCUUUUCAAACACAACUUGAGCAGCAAGUAGCCUCUUGGGCAGCAAGGAGACCUAGGGCAACACUUUCAACUAUAAAAAGACACAUAAGGAGCCUCCCCAUGCUCUUUACACUCCCCUUGGGAGACACCUACGGGAUUCACAUCUCUUCUUCUACCUUUCUUUUUUUCUUUUAUUUUCUGUUUUGUUUCAGCCAUGAGAGGCUGAAAUCUUUUAUUCUAGUUGAAGAACAAGUGAAGCUUUAGUUGUUUCUAUGGAUUGAGAGACUUGGACUACAUUGUUAAUCUUUUGUUAUUCAAUAUUCAUGUAAUCUUAUGCUUAAUCCCAUUAUUGCUUUGUUGUUUGGAUCUACAUUGAUUCUUGAUUGCAGACUUGGACUACAUUGUUAAUCUUUUGUUAUUCAAUAUUCAUAUAAUCUUGUGCUUAAUCCCAUUAUUGCUUUGUUGUUUGGAUCUACAUUGAUUCUUGAUUGCAAGGUAAUUGAUAUUUAUUAGUUUGAAUAAUUUUAAAUCCGUAAUUGCUUGGAUUGUUCAAACAUAAGAACACUUGGUGUAAAAGCCAAGGAUAUUGCACGAUCUAGUGUUGUCACCAUGCUUGUGGGUAACUAGAAUUGGUUUUCUCCAUAUCUUAAUGCAAUUGACAAUUGUUAGUAAGCCUAAGGCUCAAGGACGUUCCUUGCAAUUUGUUGAUUAGUAAUUAAUUAGAGGACUCUCCCUAAUUGGUUAAUAAUAAAGGAGAAGUAUGGUUGUGAGAAGCAUCUUCAAUCGCCAUGACUAAUUUAUUGAAUCAAGCAAGAGAACAUAAGUGUCAAUGAUCAAUCCCAUCAACUAAAGUGAAUCCGAAUCUUCAACUAGAGCUUUUCUUCUUAUUGUUUUUCUCUUCAUUUUUUAUUAUUUGCUUUACUUUAUUGCUUUCAUCAUUAGUUUAAUCAAAUCAAUCUCAAAACCCCCCCUUUUUACUUUCUUUGCACUUUGCUUUUAUUUUAUUUUUAGUUUGUUUUCUUGGUCUUGAUAAGGAAAAUAGGUAAGUAUCAAUUCCCU